GACGAACGCUGGCGGCGUGCUUAACACAUGCAAGUCGAACGGAAAGGCCCUGCUUUUGUGGGGUGCUCGAGUGGCGAACGGGUGAGUAACACGUGAGUAACCUGCCCUUGACUUUGGGAGAACUUCAGGAAACUGGGGCUAAUACCGGAUAGGAGCUCCUGCUGCAUGGUGGGGGUUGGAAAGUUUCGGCGGUUGGGGAUGGACUCGCGGCUUAUCAGCUUGUUGGUGGGGUAGUGGCUUACCAAGGCUUUGACGGGUAGCCGGCCUGAGCGGGUGACCGGCCACAUUGGGACUGAGAUACGGCCCAGACUCCUACGGGAGGCAGCAGUGGGGAAUAUUGCACAAUGGGCGGAAGCCUGAUGCAGCAACGCCGCGUGCGGGAUGACGGCCUUCGGGUUGUAAACCGCUUUCGCCUGUGACGAAGCGUGAGUGACGGUAAUGGGUAAAGAAGCACCGGCUAACUACGUG
Molecule: ribosomal RNA, 468 nt
Filed under: uncultured bacterium
Lineage: Bacteria
Description: partial 16S ribosomal RNA
Rfam family: Bacterial small subunit ribosomal RNA
Source: RNAcentral